AGUCCGGCAAAAGUAGCUGUAGAACUGAACUGCAACUAAAGGAAGUAGCCUAGUUUGAAUAUUAUAAUAAUAUAACUGUACUUCAUAGUAUUGGAGUAUAGAAGAUACAAACCGUAAAAGUGAUGCCGGCCCAGCCCUCCCUCAGAGAACCAGAGGAGGAGAUGGAGGUGGAGGGAGACAGUGAACUACCGGAGGCCAAUGGAGAGAUGGAGGAAGAGAGGGAGAGAGAGAGGAGAGAAGGGGAGGAGGAAACCAUGGAGGAGAGCACGGAGGAGAGGGAGAGCGACUCGGACGAUAGCGAGGAGGAGGAGGAGGAGGAAGAGGAGAGUUCAGAGAUGGAUGAUGAGGACUGUGAGAGGAGGAGAGGAGAGUGCCUAGAUGAGAUGUCAGACCUAGAGAAACAGUUCCUGGAACUGAAAGACAAGUUGUUUCGUGAGCGGUUGAACCAAGUUAAGGUGAAGCUAGAUGAGGUGUUGACUGGUAAAGCAGGAGAAUACAGAGAACCACUGGCAACUCUACAACACAACAUGACGCUACGCACACAGGUGGCAGGUGUUUACAGAGAACUGUGUCUGCAGGUGAUCCAACACAGGUACGAGUGUGAGCUGCAGGGAGCUCGACAGCAUCUGGAGAGCGAGAGGACAUUGUUGUUUGAUGCUAUGAAGACAGAACUGCUGGACAAGAUCAGACGGCUGGAGGAGGAUAGUCAGAGUGUAGACCUCACCUCGGAGUGGUGGAGUGAUGAGGUGAAAGGGAAGAAGUGUAAAAGGAGGAGUCUGUCCCGGCCAGAGAGGAAGAAGAAGGCUGCUCUAGUAUCUGGCCCAUUCAUCGUCUACAUGUUGAGAGACAUUGAUAUCCUGGAAGAUUGGGCAGCUAUACAGAAGGCUAAAGCAGCACUGACACCACUAAAGAAGAAAACAGACAAGCGGUGAUCACAGAGCACUGUCUCAGACGUCUAGAUGAACCAAAGUCUCUGAGCUGAAGAAGAGAACUCACAACAACAGAACAUUCUUGAACACAACAGAACAGUCUUGACCACUAUUUAAUACAAAGCACUUCAGUAGGGUCUUGUUCAGUAGGGUCUUGUUCAGUAGGGUCUUGUUCAGUAGGGUCUUGUUCAGUAGGGCGUACUGGAGCAAAACAUUUUGCAACAGAAAAUGUAAAUCUGUCUUUUUAUUGGACAAGUUCAGGAGUGUACCUCCCUGUUUCAAACUGUUUUGUCCCUACUGAACACAGCACAGACCAUGAAGACGAAACAGCAGACCGAUCACUUUUAGGUUCUGAUUCAUCUAUCACACUAUGGCCCAGUUACCUUUAGGUUCUGAUUCAUCUAUCACACUAUGGCCCAGUUACCUUUAGGUUCUGAUUCAUCUUACUAUGGCCCAGUUACCUUUAGGUUCUGAUUCAUCUACUAUGGCCCAGUUACCUUUAGGUUCUGAUUCAUCCAUCACACUAUGGCCCAGUUACCUUUAGGUUCUGAUUCAUCCAUCACACUAUGGUCCAGUUACCUUUAGGUUCUGAUUCAUCUAUCACACUAUGGCCCAGUUACCUUUAGGUUCUGAUUCAUCUAUCACACUAUGGUCCAGUUACCUUUAGGUUCUGAUUCAUCUAUCACACUAUGGUCCAGU
This is a non-coding RNA of Salmo salar (Atlantic salmon), 1628 nucleotides long. The record is from RefSeq and is a predicted model, not a curated record. Lineage: Eukaryota; Metazoa; Chordata; Actinopteri; Salmoniformes; Salmonidae.